RNAcentral lists this ribosomal RNA (498 nucleotides) under uncultured bacterium. RNAcentral describes it as "partial 16S ribosomal RNA". It matches the Rfam family "Bacterial small subunit ribosomal RNA", at positions 28 to 508 of the family's 1533-position model. The record is from RNAcentral.
GAUGAACGCUGGCGGCGUGCCUAAUACAUGCAAGUCGAGCGAACAGACGAGGAGCUUGCUCCUCUGACGUUAGCGGCGGACGGGUGAGUAACACGUGGAUAACCUACCUAUAAGACUGGGAUAACUUCGGGAAACCGGAGCUAAUACCGGAUAAUAUAUUGAACCGCAUGGUUCAAUAGUGAAAGACGGUUUUGCUGUCACUUAUAGAUGGAUCCGCGCCGCAUUAGCUAGUUGGUAAGGUAACGGCUUACCAAGGCAACGAUGCGUAGCCGACCUGAGAGGGGUGACGGCCCACAUUAGACCUGAACCAGGCCCAGCCCUCCGCGGGGAGGACGAGGAGGGAAUUUUUCAGAAAUGGGCGAAGGCCGAAGGGAGCACCCCGGCGUGAGUAAUAAGUGUUUUAGGUUCUAAAACCUGUUUUUUGGGGAAAAAAAAAUUGUGUAAUAAACAAGGCCGGUCUGGAGGGUCCCUAAUAAAAAGCCCACGACUAACUCGGGC